Tupaia belangeri (northern tree shrew) is the source of this 105-nucleotide small nuclear RNA. The record is from Ensembl. NCBI's taxonomy places the organism in Eukaryota, Metazoa, Chordata, Mammalia, Scandentia, Tupaiidae.
GUGCUCACUUUGGCAGCACAUAUACUAAAAUUAGAAUUAUGCAGAGAAAAUUCGCAUGGCCUUUGCAAGGAUGACAUGCGAAUGUGUGGAGUGUUUCAUAUUUUU